RNAcentral lists this ribosomal RNA (252 nucleotides) under uncultured bacterium. RNAcentral's name for it is "partial 16S ribosomal RNA". It matches the Rfam family "Bacterial small subunit ribosomal RNA", at positions 524 to 776 of the family's 1533-position model. The record is from RNAcentral.
UACGGAGGAUGCGAGCGUUAUCCGGAUUUAUUGGGAUUAAAGGGUGCGUAGGCGGAUCGUUAAGUCAGUGGUCAAAUUGAGGGGCUCAACCCCUUCCCGCCAUUGAAACUGGCGAUCUUGAGUGGAAGAGAAGUAUGCGGAAUGCGUGGUGUAGCGGUGAAAUGCAUAGAUAUCACGCAGAACCCCGAUUGCGAAGGCAGCAUGCCGGCUUCCGACUGACGCUGAAGCACGAAAGCGUGGGGAUCGAACAGG